Molecule: ribosomal RNA, 424 nt
Filed under: Phomopsis sp. 3 MF-2014
Lineage: Eukaryota; Fungi; Ascomycota; Sordariomycetes; Diaporthales; Diaporthaceae
Description: eukaryotic LSU rRNA
Rfam family: 5.8S ribosomal RNA (bases 64-217)
Source: RNAcentral
CCGGCGGCCAACCAAACUCUUGUUUCUAUAGUGAAUCUCUGAGUAAAAACAUAAAUGAAUCAAAACUUUCAACAACGGAUCUCUUGGUUCUGGCAUCGAUGAAGAACGCAGCGAAAUGCGAUAAGUAAUGUGAAUUGCAGAAUUCAGUGAAUCAUCGAAUCUUUGAACGCACAUUGCGCCCUCUGGUAUUCCGGAGGGCAUGCCUGUUCGAGCGUCAUUUCAACCCUCAAGCCUGGCUUGGUGAUGGGGCACUGCCUGUAAAAGGGCAGGCCCUGAAAUCUAGUGGCGAGCUCGCCAGGACCCCGAGCGUAGUAGUUACAUCUCGCUCUGGAAGGCCCUGGCGGUGCCCUGCCGUUAAACCCCCAACUUCUGAAAAUUUGACCUCGGAUCAGGUAGGAAUACCCGCUGAACUUAAGCAUAUCAA